This 73-nucleotide transfer RNA is filed under the name Roseibacillus sp. Its description in RNAcentral is "tRNA-Ala". It matches the Rfam family "tRNA". From Rfam's summary of the family: Transfer RNA (tRNA) molecules are approximately 80 nucleotides in length. Their secondary structure includes four short double-helical elements and three loops (D, anti-codon, and T loops). RNAcentral also lists the same sequence under 3 other names. Lineage: Bacteria; Pseudomonadati; Verrucomicrobiota; Verrucomicrobiia; Verrucomicrobiales; Verrucomicrobiaceae. The record is from RNAcentral.
GGGGGCAUAGCUCAGUUGGUAGAGCGCCUGCUUUGCAAGCAGGAUGUCAGGAGUUCGAGUCUCCUUGCCUCCA